RNAcentral lists this ribosomal RNA (468 nucleotides) under uncultured bacterium. RNAcentral's name for it is "partial 16S ribosomal RNA". It matches the Rfam family "Bacterial small subunit ribosomal RNA", at positions 28 to 507 of the family's 1533-position model. The record is from RNAcentral.
GACGAACGCUGGCGGCGUGCUUAACACAUGCAAGUCGAACGGAAAGGCCCUGCUUUUGUGGGGUGCUCGAGUGGCGAACGGGUGAGUAACACGUGAGUAACCUGCCCUUGACUUUGGGAUAACUUCAGGAAACUGGGGCUAAUACCGGAUAGGAGCUCCUGCUGCAUGGUGGGGGUUGGAAAGUUUCGGCGGUUGGGGAUGGACUCGCGGCUUAUCCGCUUGUUGGUGGGGUAGUGGCGUACCAAGGCUUUGACGGGUAGCCGGCCUGAGAGGGUGACCGGCCACAUGGGGACUAAGAUACGGCCCAGACUCCAACGGGAGGCAGCAGUGGGGAAUAUUGCACAAUGGGCGGAAGCCUGAUGCAGCAACGCCGCGUGCGGGAUGACGGCCUUCGGGUUGUAAACCGCUGUCGCCUGUGACGAAGCGUGAGUGACGGUAAUGAAUAAAGAAGCACCGGCUAACUACGUG